Molecule: non-coding RNA, 365 nt
Organism: Penaeus vannamei (Pacific white shrimp)
Lineage: Eukaryota; Metazoa; Arthropoda; Malacostraca; Decapoda; Penaeidae
Source: RefSeq, a predicted model, not a curated record
GAUCAUAACAAGAGGUAUCCUAUGGCGGCAAAGUCAAAAGUUCCACGGUCUCUUUAGAAAUUAGUACGUUUCUUUAGCUAGACGCUUACCUGGGACCCAGAUGUUCACGUGGAAGUGUUUUUAGUGUGUUUUCUUAGAGUUAUGGUACUUAUCGAGUAUAGGAGUGCAUCAGGCAACACCUUGGCCCUGUUUUUUUGAGCUCCAUUAAAGUUCAACAAAUCUCCACCAUUAUGUUCUGGUAUUGAAAGGAAAGAGAACCUGCAGUCUACGUGAUGUCAAGCAAUAACCGAGGAGGUGGUGGUCGAGGAGGAGGUUGGAGAGGCAGAGGAGGUGGUGGAGGAGGAGGAGGAGGAGGAUGGAGAGGC